UACGGAGGGUGCAAGCGUUAAUCGGAAUUACUGGGCGUAAAGCGCACGUAGUCGGCUUUGCAAGUCGGGUGUGAAAUCCCCGGGCUCAACCUGGGAACUGCAUCCGAGACUGCAUUGCUAGAGUAUGGGAGAGGGAAGCGGAAUUUCUGGUGUAGCAGUGAAAUGCGUAGAUAUCAGAAGGAACAUCAGUGGCGAAGGCGGCUUCCUGGACCAAUACUGACGAUCAGGUGCGAAAGCGUGGGGAGCAAACAGG
This 253-nucleotide ribosomal RNA is filed under the name uncultured bacterium. RNAcentral's name for it is "partial 16S ribosomal RNA". It matches the Rfam family "Bacterial small subunit ribosomal RNA", at positions 524 to 776 of the family's 1533-position model. The record is from RNAcentral.